Molecule: unclassified non-coding RNA, 433 nt
Filed under: soil metagenome
Description: partial contains 5.8S ribosomal RNA, internal transcribed spacer 2, and large subunit ribosomal RNA
Rfam family: 5.8S ribosomal RNA (bases 1-120)
Source: RNAcentral
GAUGAAGAACGUAGCGAAAUGCGAUACGUCAUGUGAAUUGCAGAAUUCAGUGAAUCAUCGAAUCUUUGAACGCAUAUUGCGCUCUCUGGUAUUCCGGAGAGCAUGCUUGUUUGAUUAUCAGUAAACACCUCAACUUCCAUAUCUUUUUUGAAAUGGGAGUUGGACUUGAGUGAUCCCAACGCUUUUCCUCACCGAAAAGUGGCGGGUUACUUGAAAUGCAGGUGCAGCUGGACUUUUCUCUGAGCUAUAAGCAUAUCUAUUUAGUCUGCCUAAAAAACAGAUUAUUACCUUUGCUGCAGCUAACAUAAAGGAGAUUAGUUCUUGUGCUGACUGAUGCAGGAUUCACAAAGACAGGCUUCGGCCGACUUUGUAAACUCGAUCUCAAAUCAAGUAAGACUACCCGCUGAACUUAAGCAUAUCAAUAAGCGGAGGA